CACUGAGGCAGUGAAUGGAAGUUCUGGGUCAAGAAACUUUAGAGAUAACGGAUCCAGAGAAGGGACACUUGGUGAUUGGAAAAUAGGAGUCACGCUCAGAAUAUACCCACAUCAAGGAAAAAAACACCAGAAGAUCUGAGAUAAGAAUCUGGAAGCUGAACCAGUCUGUUAUUAAUGAAAUAAUUGCUGGGGAGAGGGGGAUCCUAGAACAAUAUACCCACAUUGAGCAUUGCUAGAGAAAAUUGUACAACUGAGAAUUCUGGCUUAAAUUCGCCGUUAACCGGACUGUCGACACGGCCUGACCUUAUGCUUUGUUUCCUGUUCUUCACACAAUUGGAAAUCUUCCUGAAACUUCAAGUCCCAAGCUUUCCCCUUAUUCUCCGGAGAUAAC
Molecule: long non-coding RNA, 391 nt
Organism: Eptesicus fuscus (big brown bat)
Lineage: Eukaryota; Metazoa; Chordata; Mammalia; Chiroptera; Vespertilionidae
Exons: 4
Source: RefSeq, a predicted model, not a curated record